Pomacea canaliculata is the source of this 236-nucleotide long non-coding RNA. RefSeq lists it as uncharacterized. The transcript has 3 exons. The record is from RefSeq and is a predicted model, not a curated record. Lineage: Eukaryota; Metazoa; Mollusca; Gastropoda; Architaenioglossa; Ampullariidae.
ACAGGAGGCACCUACCGAAGAGAGGAGAGCGUUUGUUGCCCCUUUGUAACCUGGUGGAAUGUUUUGUUGAUCCUUGCAUGCUCGCUCUGUGUGCUGCGAACACGGUGUGCACGAGCUGCAACUGCCAGGCCAGGUGCUUGCCUGUAGGAACACUAGGUACUCUCUGAUGAAGACAAGAAUUAUUCAACUGUCCUGCCCUGCUGACAUCUUGUUUUCCAGGCAAAGAUCGACUAUAU